UACAGAGGUCUCAAGCGUUGUUCGGAUUCAUUGGGCGUAAAGGGUGCGUAGGCGGCGCGGUAAGUCGGGUGUGAAAUCUUGGAGCUUAACUCCGAAACUGCAUUCGAUACUGCCGUGCUUGAGGACUGGAGAGGAGACUGGAAUUUACGGUGUAGCGGUGAAAUGCGUAGAUAUGACAUAGAACACCAAUUGCGAAGGCAGCUGGCUACACGAAUAUUGACACUGAUGCACGAAAGCGUGGGGAUCAAACAGG
RNAcentral lists this ribosomal RNA (253 nucleotides) under uncultured bacterium. RNAcentral's name for it is "partial 16S ribosomal RNA". It matches the Rfam family "Bacterial small subunit ribosomal RNA", at positions 524 to 776 of the family's 1533-position model. The record is from RNAcentral.